This 468-nucleotide ribosomal RNA is filed under the name uncultured bacterium. RNAcentral describes it as "partial 16S ribosomal RNA". It matches the Rfam family "Bacterial small subunit ribosomal RNA", at positions 28 to 507 of the family's 1533-position model. The record is from RNAcentral.
GACGAACGCUGGCGGCGUGCUUAGCACAUGCAAGUCGAACGGAAAGGCCCUGCUGUUGUGGGGUGCUCGAGUGGCGAACGGGUGAGUAACACGUGAGUAACCUGCCCUUGACUUUGGGAUAACUUCAGGAAACUGGGGCUAAUACCGGAUAGGAGCUCCUGCUGCAUGGUGGGGGUUGGAAAGUUUCGGCGGUUGGGGAUGGACUCGCGGCUUAUCAGCUUGUUGGUGGGGUAGUGGCUUACCAAGGCUUUGACGGGUAGCCGGCCUGAGAGGGUGACCGGCCACAUUGGGACUGAGAUACGGCCCAGACUCCUACGGGAGGCAGCAGUGGAGAAUAUUGCACAAUGGGCGGAAGCCUGAUGCAGCAACGCCGCGUGCGGGAUGACGGCCUUCGGGUUGUAAACCGCUUUCGCCUGUGACGAAGCGUGAGUGACGGUAAUGGGUAAAGAAGCACCGGCUAACUACGUG